This is an RNA transcript of Triticum aestivum (bread wheat), 2153 nucleotides long. RefSeq lists it as uncharacterized. The transcript is spliced from 2 exons. The record is from RefSeq and is a predicted model, not a curated record. NCBI's taxonomy places the organism in Eukaryota, Viridiplantae, Streptophyta, Magnoliopsida, Poales, Poaceae.
CCACCUCCCACCUGGUCUCCUCUCUUCCCGCCUCCUCCCACGAAACCCUAGCCGCCGCACCGUGCAGCCGCCGCCGCCGCGCCCUCCUCCUCCUUCCACCUCCUGGCCGGCGCCCAACCACCGCGCCCUCUCCUUCCCCCUACCGCCGGCCUCUCCCUAGGUGGCGGCCAGAUCUGCCACAGCCACAGCCACGACGAGGGCUUCUGGAUCCGCGCCGCCGUCGAGCUGGGCGCGACCAUUAACCUCGGACCACACCGCCGCCACCAUGGAUGCACCAUAUCAAGGAAUUGCAAGAAAAUCAUGAGGAAUUUCUUUCAAGUCGAAUGGCUGACAAAGAGCUUCAGGUUCAUGGUUCACCAGGUUCUGCUGGCUCCACUAACAGUUGCCUACAAGCACUUGCACAGGUCAGCUGAGAUACGUCUUGCACACCUACGAGUUGAUUCUUCUAGGGAUCUUUCUAAACGAACUUUCAGUUGCAAUGCACAAAUAUGUUGCUAGAUGAGGUUUAGAACUUAGUUGGCAGAAGCUGUUUUAAGAUUAGUAUAUUGUAGUAUUUCUCUGAGGGAAUUCUGUGAAUAUUUGGUCAUUGCCAACAAAUCUAAAAUAGAAUGGAAGUGAUUGUUUGGAAUGGAUAUUACUCUGCUGCUCAUGUUUGUUACUUUUAUUGCAUACAAUAUUUUGCUUACAUGUUUGCUAAUAAACUUCUGUGAGGACCCCUGCUGGAGACAUACGGAGUUGAGGAAUAAUGCAAGUGAGUGGAGCUUGUUGAGUUGUUGUUCGCCUGAUCAUACAUGAUACGUCGAGUGUGAACUACCCAUUCUCCGCCUCUCCUACAGUCUGUAACAAAAGCGUUAGGCCUGAGUGUGUGAGUCUGUGAGAGUAGAUGGUAGGUCAUUGGAUAUAAAAGGGGCCUUUAGUAGUCCAUUUAUCUUUCCAGAAUGAAGUUGGAAGAGCACGAGCUCCUCUGCUCCACCCUUCGGGUCCCUUCCUCUGUAGUAUUUAGUUUCUUCGUUGUACGUUGUAUUUAGUUAGUACUUUUCAGAUGGCUUAACUCCCUUUCUCUGUAGUAAUUGGAGCCCAUAAGUGGAGGUGUUUGUUCCUCAUAUGCAACCUUAUUAUCUGAUAGAUAGAUUGGGAAACACAGCAGGAGUUUGAGUUUAUUUUCAUUCAGCAGAACACAACAACAGUAGUAGACUCCCGUAAAAACCAGCAGUCGAACUGAACUAGAAUACUGUGUGUAUUUUAGCUUAAGCAAUCUAGGAUUCACUCCUGGAUGUUAGAGCAACAUAUUUCAGAAUGUAAUUAAUUAAUGUUGCUUCCCACGAAGUAUAUUUCUUUUGUUUCAAUAAGCAUUAUGCACAACUCGAUGCUUGGUGCGACGUCGAGUUCAUCUUAUUAUGUGAAUAUAGUGGUUGGCAUGCUCAAUUCGUCCUCAUUGGCAUCUGAACCUGAGGCUCUUGACUUACUCAAAUGUUCUCCAGUCAUUUCCCCCUCUCCUACAAAUGUGAUCAAUUUGGCAUGGGUAUGCGUACAGUUGGAGGGCGUGUUCGGGAGCCCUCCCGCUUCUCAACUCCUCAACUCCACGUGAGGAGUGCAGCCGAACGAUCCAAAUCCUGGUUAUGAGCGAGAGAAGCUGGCGAAACUUGCAGUGCAAUUUUUGCGGAGUCGCGGAGCUGGCAAACUCGAGCUCCUCCAAAACAGCGAAGCAGGAGUUGCCAAGAAUUACAUCUAAGUGCCACCGCCAAGUGAGUUACCGGUUCGUUCGUUUAUUGCAAAUAUUACAAAUAUGUGCCACCGCCAAGGCAGUUACCGGUUCGUUCGUUCGCCAGAGCAGGCUUCCCACGCGUAGAUGGGCUGUCACGCCUAGUUGGGCCCUCCCGAGCUGCUAUUUCUCAUAGCUAGGUGGCUGGCGGCCUGUUUCAACGGCCAGAACGAGGAGCUACUCUACCGAACGAUUUGUAACUCCAGGAUUUUAACUGAGAAGCCGGCUGCUGGUUUUGGGCUAUGGAGUUGAGGAUUUUGAGGCUGUGGAGAGCUACCGAACACGCCCGGAAUUAGGCACCAUGGGAAGGAUUCAAAUCUCUGAGAAGUGUGCUAAAUCAAUAGUGCCAAUCGGUUCAGUUUCAGCUUCAAAAACAUUAGGUGGUUGAAAA